GACGAACGCUGGCGGCGUGCUUAACACAUGCAAGUCGAACGAAGUGGCGAACGGGUGAGUAACGCGUAAUCAACUGCCCUUCAGAGGGGGACAACAGUUGGAAACAGCUGCUAAUACCGGAUAGUCAUGGAUGACUCGCGGCCUAUCAGCUUGUUGGUGAGGUAACGGCUCACCAAGGCGACGACGGGUAGCCGGCCUGAGAGGGCGACCGGCCACAUUGGGCUGAGAUACGGCCCAAACUCCUACGGGAGGCAGCAGUGGGGAAUAUUGCACAAUGGGCGAAAGCCUGAUGCAGCAACGCCGCGUGCGGGAAGACGGCCUUCGGGUUGUAAACCGCUUUCAGCCAUGACGCGGUAGUGGCAGAAGAAGCGCCGGCUAACUCCGUGCCAGCAGCCGCGGUAAUUC
This 405-nucleotide ribosomal RNA is filed under the name uncultured bacterium. RNAcentral's name for it is "partial 16S ribosomal RNA". It matches the Rfam family "Bacterial small subunit ribosomal RNA", at positions 28 to 526 of the family's 1533-position model. The record is from RNAcentral.